This 947-nucleotide unclassified non-coding RNA is filed under the name Hevea brasiliensis (rubber tree). The record is from RNAcentral. Lineage: Eukaryota; Viridiplantae; Streptophyta; Magnoliopsida; Malpighiales; Euphorbiaceae.
GAGGUUUUAAUCAGUUUUAUUAUUCCUAUCUUCAACAAGAACAACAGAAGCAACAGCAGCAGCAAUGCAAUGUCCAGAUGGUACAGAACCAGCUGCAGAAGAAUCAAAAUCAUUGCUUUGACAAUAAUAUUAUUGGUUCUUCUUCUUUGAAAACCAGUAAUUAUCACCCUUCAAUGGCUUAUUCUCAAAGCAUCGCUGCCUAUGAUGAAAAGCAAAGACAAGAGAUUGAUCACUAUAUCAGAUUACAGAAUGAGAGGUUAAGAUUCUUAUUGCAAGAACAAAGAAAGCAACAGCUAGCUUUAUUGAUGAAGAGAAUAGAAUCAAACGCACUGCCUUUAUUGAGGCAAAAGGAUGAAGAAAUAGCUCGAGCAGCUAAAAGAAUUGCAGAGCUUGAAGAUUUCACAAAAAGAUUAGAGAUGGAGAGCCAAGUCUGGCAAAGGUUAGCACAAGAAAACGAAGCCAUGGUUAUUUCUCUCAACAACACAAUAGAACAACUGAGGGAAAAAGCCUCGUGUUGCUUUGAAAACGGAGCAGAGGAUGCAGAGUCAUGCUGUGAUAUGAACAGAGAAGAAGCAGAGGAAACAGAGGUGAAAAACAGAGUAUUUGUUGAUGAUAACGUUACAGAAGAGGAAAGAGCUAGAAAAAAGAUGGUGUGCAGAGGCUGUAACUCUAGGAAUUCGUGUAUUUUGUUCCUUCCCUGUAGGCACCUUUGUUCAUGCAAAGCUUGUGAGGCUUUUCUUGAUUCUUGCCCUGUCUGUCAAACGGCAAAGAAGGCUAGCAUUGAGGCUAUAAUGGUUUAGACUUUGAUUUUCUAGGCCCCGGAAAAAAAUUUUCCGGGAAAAGUGAAAGGGAAUAGAAAAAGGGAAAGAAAGAGAAGCAAAAAUCAGACACCCAAUUCAAUGCCUUUGCAUGCAGGCACACUGGCAUUGGCAUUUGGUCAUUAAAUU